RNAcentral lists this ribosomal RNA (253 nucleotides) under uncultured bacterium. RNAcentral's name for it is "partial 16S ribosomal RNA". It matches the Rfam family "Bacterial small subunit ribosomal RNA", at positions 524 to 776 of the family's 1533-position model. The record is from RNAcentral.
UACGGAGGGGGCGAGCGUUGUCCGAAGUUACUGGGCGUAAAGCGCGCGUAGGCGGGUUGGUAAGUCCGCUGUGAAAGCCCGGAGCUCAACUCCGGAGGGUCGGUGGAUACUGCCAGUCUUGAAGGUGCUAGGGGGAGAUGGAAUUACCGGUGUAGCGGUGAAAUGCGUAGAUAUCGGUAGGAACACCAGUGGCGAAGGCGGUCUCCUGGGGCAUUCUUGACGCUGAGGCGCGAAAGCUGGGGGAGCGAACGGG